AGCACAGGUGAGACGUGGUCUUGUAACACAGUGGUUAAGAAUGUGACUUUGGAGCCAGCCUGCUAGGGGCUGAAUUCUGACUCAGCCAUUUACUAACUGUGUGACCUUAGGUCACAGAAUUUUCCACACUCCUUGACGGAGGUGCUUAACCCUUAUCCAUCAGCAUUCUCAGACAGCACCUCCGGUUAGGGACAGUAUCUGACCGUCCGACAUCCCUGCAGCCCCCAUGUGUCACACAGACUCAGCCUCAGGUAGAUGGUUUCCGUAGAUGGUGGCUUUCUUUGGACCCUUGACAUCAACCAGUUACUAUUUGACUCUUCUGCAGAACCCCCUGUUGACCCCUGCUUUGAGGUGGCAGAGUUAACACUACUCUUCGUUAUAAGCUCUCGUCUGGGGCAACUCAGAAGAACCCAGAGACAGACUCCCAGACUCGGCCAGAGGCUGAUGCCGACUCCUUCCAGCUCUCACGGUAACCAUGAGGCCCCUGCGUGUUUCUGCUGUGGAGGUCCCAGAGGGAACUGUAUGGACAGACACAGCCUGAAGGGCCAUCUGCCUCAAGCCACAGC
Molecule: non-coding RNA, 566 nt
Filed under: Pan troglodytes (chimpanzee)
Lineage: Eukaryota; Metazoa; Chordata; Mammalia; Primates; Hominidae
Source: RNAcentral